Molecule: ribosomal RNA, 465 nt
Filed under: Vreelandella stevensii
Lineage: Bacteria; Pseudomonadati; Pseudomonadota; Gammaproteobacteria; Oceanospirillales; Halomonadaceae
Description: partial 16S ribosomal RNA
Rfam family: Bacterial small subunit ribosomal RNA
Source: RNAcentral
CCUACGGGAGGCAGCAGUGGGGAAUAUUGGACAAUGGGCGAAAGCCUGAUCCAGCCAUGCCGCGUGUGUGAAGAAGGCCUUCGGGUUGUAAAGCACUUUCAGUGGGGAAGAAAGCCUUGGGGCUAAUACCCUCGAGGAAGGACAUCACCCACAGAAGAAGCACCGGCUAACUCCGUGCCAGCAGCCGCGGUAAUACGGAGGGUGCGAGCGUUAAUCGGAAUUACUGGGCGUAAAGCGCGCGUAGGCGGUCUGAUAAGCCGGUUGUGAAAGCCCCGGGCUCAACCUGGGAACGGCAUCCGGAACUGUCAGGCUAGAGUGCAGGAGAGGAAGGUAGAAUUCCCGGUGUAGCGGUGAAAUGCGUUGAGAUCGGGAGGAAUACCAGUGGCGAAGGCAGCCUUCUGGACUGACACUGACGCUGAGGUGCGAAAGCGUGGGUAGCAAACAGGAUUAGAUACCCCAGUAGUC